GAUGAACGCUGGCGGCGUGCCUAAUACAUGCAAGUCGAGCGAACGGACGAGAAGCUUGCUUCUCUGAUGUUAGCGGCGGACGGGUGAGUAACACGUGGAUAACCUACCUAUAAGACUGGGAUAACUUCGGGAAACCGUAGCUAAUACCGGAUAAUAUUUUGAACCGCAUGGUUCAAAAGUGAAAGACGGUCUUGCUGUCACUUAUAGAUGGAUCCGCGCUGCAUUAGCUAGUUGGUAAGGUAACGGCUUACCAAGGCAACGAUGCAUAGCCGACCUGAGAGGGUGAUCGGCCACACUGGAACUGAGACACGGUCAAGACUCCUACGGGAGGCAGCAGUAGGGAAUCUUCCGCAAUGGGCGAAAGCCUGACGGAGCAACGCCGCGUGAGUGAUGAGGGUCUUCGGAUCGUAAAACUCUGUUAUGAGGGAAGAACAUAUGUGUAAGUAACUGUGCACAGCUUGACGGUACCUAAUCAGAAAGCCACGGCUAACUACGUG
RNAcentral lists this ribosomal RNA (497 nucleotides) under uncultured bacterium. Its description in RNAcentral is "partial 16S ribosomal RNA". It matches the Rfam family "Bacterial small subunit ribosomal RNA", at positions 28 to 507 of the family's 1533-position model. The record is from RNAcentral.